GACAAACGCUGGCGGCGUGCAUAAAACAUGCAAGUCGGACGAGCCAAUCCCCGCAAGGGGAAAGGCUAGUGGCGAACGGCUGAGUAACACGUAGGUGACCUGCCCUGAAGUGGGGGAUAA
RNAcentral lists this ribosomal RNA (120 nucleotides) under uncultured bacterium. RNAcentral describes it as "partial 16S ribosomal RNA". It matches the Rfam family "Bacterial small subunit ribosomal RNA", at positions 28 to 146 of the family's 1533-position model. The record is from RNAcentral.